This 467-nucleotide ribosomal RNA is filed under the name uncultured bacterium. RNAcentral's name for it is "partial 16S ribosomal RNA". It matches the Rfam family "Bacterial small subunit ribosomal RNA", at positions 28 to 507 of the family's 1533-position model. The record is from RNAcentral.
GAUGAACGCUGGCGGCGUGCUUAACACAUGCAAGUCGAACGGUGAAGCAGAGCUUGCUCUGUGGAUCAGUGGCGAACGGGUGAGUAACACGUGAGCAGCCUGCCCCUGACUCUGGGAUAAGCGCUGGAAACGGCGUCUAAUACUGGAUAUGAGCUGCGACCGCAUGGUCAGCAGUUGGAAAGAUUUUUCGGUCUGGGAUGGGCUCACGGCCUAUCAGCUUGUUGGUGAGGUAAUGGCUCACCAAGGCGCCGACGGGUAGCCGGCCUGAGAGGGUGACCGGCCACACUGGGACUGAGACACGGCCCAGACUCCUACGGGAGGCAGCAGUGGGGAAUAUUGCACAAUGGGCGAAAGCCUGAUGCAGCAACGCCGCGUGAGGGAUGACGGCCUUCGGGUUGUAAACCUCUUUUAGCAGGGAAGAAGCGAAAGCGACGGUACCUGCAGAAAAAGCGCCGGCUAACUACGUG